AGCUCAUGGCGGCGUACCGUAUACCCUAUAUAACGAGGAAGAGGAAAGGGAUAGAAUCGACAUCGUCUCAAGCUAUCAUCAAAAAUCAAUAUCUGAGAUAAUUGUUUUGUGAGAAAGAAAAAGGAAAUGUCUGGAGUUGGACCAAUCACACAGGACUGGGAACCAGUGGUAAUCCGCAAGAAGGCUCCCAACGCCGCCGCGAAGAAGGAUGAGAAGGUUGUCAACGCCGCUCGCCGUUCCGGUGCCGAGAUUGAAA
RNAcentral lists this unclassified non-coding RNA (256 nucleotides) under Hevea brasiliensis (rubber tree). The record is from RNAcentral. Lineage: Eukaryota; Viridiplantae; Streptophyta; Magnoliopsida; Malpighiales; Euphorbiaceae.